CCUACGGGUGGCAGCAGUGAGGAAUAUUGGUCAAUGGACGAGAGUCUGAACCAGCCAAGUAGCGUGAAGGAUGACUGCCCUAUGGGUUGUAAACUUCUUUUAUAUGGGAAUAAAAUGUUUCACGUGUGGGAUUUUGUAUGUACCAUAUGAAUAAGGAUCGGCUAAAUCCGUGCCAGCAGCCGCGGUAAUACGGAGGAUCCGAGCGUUAUCCGGCAUUAUUGGGUUUAAAGGGAGCGUAGAUGGAUUGUUAAGUCAGUUGUGAAAGUUUGCGGCUCAACCGUAAAAUUGCAGUGGAAACUGGCAGUCUGGAGUACAGUAGAGGUGAGCGGAAUUCGUGGUGUAGCGGUGAAAUGCUUAGAUAUCACGAAGAACUCCGAUUGCGAAGGCAGCUCACUGGACUGCAACUGACACUGAGGCUCGAAAGUGUGGGUAUCAAACAGGAUUAGAUACCCGAGUAGUC
Molecule: ribosomal RNA, 460 nt
Filed under: uncultured bacterium
Lineage: Bacteria
Description: partial 16S ribosomal RNA
Rfam family: Bacterial small subunit ribosomal RNA
Source: RNAcentral